RNAcentral lists this transfer RNA (65 nucleotides) under Dipodomys ordii (Ord's kangaroo rat). It matches the Rfam family "tRNA". Rfam says of the family: Transfer RNA (tRNA) molecules are approximately 80 nucleotides in length. Their secondary structure includes four short double-helical elements and three loops (D, anti-codon, and T loops). The record is from Rfam by way of RNAcentral. Lineage: Eukaryota; Metazoa; Chordata; Mammalia; Rodentia; Heteromyidae.
GGUAGCUCAGUGGUUGAGCACUUGCCUUGCAUGCAUGAGGCCCUGGGUUCGGUUCCUCAGUACCA